This is an RNA transcript of Magallana angulata, 5262 nucleotides long. RefSeq lists it as uncharacterized. The transcript is spliced from 6 exons. Lineage: Eukaryota; Metazoa; Mollusca; Bivalvia; Ostreida; Ostreidae. The record is from RefSeq and is a predicted model, not a curated record.
UGACAAACCAUCCAGUACCUAUAUGUAUGUUGUCAAUUUAAAUAGCUGUGUGCUAACUCUGGGGUGAACCUGGUACCGGCUUUUUCUGAGGUGAGGUUUAUUAAUUGUCAAUUUUAUCGUCAUUUCGUUCAUUACUGUUCUAAAACACCUAGUCAUGUUAUUCCAAUCGUUUUUAUGCUUAUUUGUAACGUUUGACACCAGAAAGUCUUUCUUCGAUCGUGUCCUUAUUAGAAGGAAAGCAAGCAUCGCUUUUUGACUUGUUUCGUGUUUUUUUUUGUUGGGUUAUGCAGGGUUUCUGGUUUUUUUUUGAAAUUGUCAAUAUUCAGAGGUUUUCAUUAACUUUUCAUUAAUGACAUUUGAAAUUAUUUGUUCCCAAAAGCAAAAGUGAUGUUUAGAACAAGUAUAAUUUUGUAUAUACUUCAUGCACAAGUUCUGCAAACUGUCCAUUGAACUUUCUAGAGAUGUAUUUGAAUUUGCCUGGUAUAAAUGAGAAUUCAGAUGAAUAUAUUUUCAGACAACUGUCUUAUAGUAAAAAUUAUAAUAUUUAUACUUGUAGACUCAAACAUUUGCGUUAUAAUUUGAUUACAUCAGAAUUUUGUAACAAUCUUAACAUUUGCUGAUGUAAUCAUUAUUUAUUGGCAUUUGAAGCCAUCAGUAAAGCAAGGUUUUUUAAACUCUGACUUGGGUAUUACUUAUAUACUAGUCUUUACAUGUGUUCAACUUCAACUGUAUUGAAAUCGCAACUGAAUAAUACUAGUAGUUCAAACUCUAAACAUUUGUUUGAUUUCUUAAAGUUAUUAAUUUUCAUGCCAAAUUUAAACAAUAAUUUUAAGAAAAUUAUCAUUUCUGUAUGGGGCCCCAUAUUUUCUACAAGUGAAAAGCUGUCAAAGUGACAGCAAACCGGGUUUUCUUUUAUGUGAACUGUAUCCAUAAUCCAUGUCAACCCUGAAUUGACAAACACAACCUACCGUAUCAAGUGAAAUGGAGUACCCUAAAUAAUCAGAAGUCAAAAUCCUAGCAAUAUGCAAACCUCUGAUAUAUAUACAAUUGAUCUGCAAGAGAACGACUUCCUAUCUUGAAAGCUGUACGAGGAGUUAUCCAUACAAUGCGGGUGCCCUAUAUGCAAUAUUUUGGGAAAAAACUGUUUUAAAUUCAGAAGCUGUUAUUUUUUUUUUUUUUUUUAUAAAUUAUCAGAAAUCAAAAUCCUAGCAAUAUGCACAACUCUGAUAUAUGUACAAUUGAUCUGCAAGAGAACGACUUCCUAUCUUGAAAACUGCAGGAGGAGUUAUCCGUAGAAUAAGGGUACCCUUUUUGGCAGCCGCCCCCCGCCAUUUCAAUAACCGGAUUUUUCCGUUGGAAAACCUGGUUAUAAAAUGGCAUGAGGCAAAGGUCACAAAUAAAAUAAAUGAACAUGCUAGGUCACCAUCUUUAUAUUCAAUAUGUUUUUGGAUGAUUGACAUUACUAGUUUUUCAAGAGCCAACCGCCUUAAAAAUACGCUUUAAUUUAUCAAAACAGGACAGAAUUGUUAUAUGUAUAUACAUCAAAGGAACACUCUCUGGAUUUGAAAUGAACAUUCUUCCAAUUGAUCUGCGUGACAUUGAUAUUUAAGGCAAAUCUACUACUUUUUAACUUUUCAUGUUUAUAACUUUAAUUUUGUUAAAUUAAAGUUUGGAUUGUUUUGUUAGAACUAAUAAUAAUACUAACAUAUAUUAUACACAUUCGGAGGAAGUAUUCAAUCUGCAAAAUCUCAUGCAUUUGUUAUAAAUCAAUACUUUUCUGAUGUAUAUAUAGCAGGGCGUCAUUGGAUCUUUGUUGGGCCAACAAUGUUUCUUAUGUUGGGGCCACCGUAUGCAUUUAACAUUGGGCCAACGGGAUUUUGCUAAUCAGCCCUUAAUCGGACAAACUUGUUGGCUUAUUGAUGGACCAAUGUAACAAACAAUAGUGGGCCAUUGUUGGAGCACUGUAUUCUUUAAUACUAGGAAAACGUAACUUUUGUACGCUUGGGCCAUUGUAAGCAAUAGACAUUGGACCAAUGGCAAUUUGCUCAUCGGCCUUUAAUCGAACCAACUUGUCGGCUUAUUGUUGAGACAAUAUCGCAGAUAAUUUUGGACCAUUGAUUGGUCACUGUUUUCCUUUGAUAUAAGGCAAAAAACAACAACACAUGAGCAAGUAGAAAUGAGUUAACAUAAUUAAAUUGUAAAAUAUUUUAUUGCUCAUGCAGUUCAUGAAGAAAAAAAUUAUAGAAAUAAUCUCCCGAGUCUCCUCCUCCCUGCUUUUCUUUUCUGUCCGCUACUUCCUCCCACUCUUUUUGGCAGACAUUUCCCAUUAAUGCUGUUCUCAAUGUCUUUUGUUUAUUGAAUCAGUCAUUUGCUUGCUCUGUAUUUUUUCGGCCCAACGACACCUCGGGCCCAGGACCCAAAAAUCACAAAACAACUCAGCAGGGAAGCUAAUAUUUUCUGUUUGACAGACAUUUACUUUAAUAAAUUUGUUCUCUAUCUCCAACAGUUAUAAAGAUAUUAAAUUUGAUGAGAACAAAUUCAUGCUAUUGAUUUUUACCUUAUCAAUCAUCUUGACAUUUGAACAAUUUCCAGCAAAAGCGGAUGAUGAAAACUGACUACACUAAACACGUUUUAACUUAUGCAUCUCAACUGAUGAGGCACGUGUCAAAAAAUUUCAGUUUUUAUAUGUGGUCAUUUGCACGCUCAACAUGUAUGCGUAAUUUUGCAAUUUGUCUACAAAGCUUGGGAUCCUGGGGUGUAUUGGGAUAUAGAUGUUAGGAAAGGAGGAAUAUUGAGGUUUACCUCUUUUGGCAACAAUUUGUGAAUAGUGAAACCUGCAUAUGCUUAUAUCAUGUCACUAGGUGCUAAUUCCUCUAGAAUUUUGCAGUGCUUUACAAUAGGGGCUGUAAGCUCGCAAACGAGAGCGCGCGAGAUUUAAAUACUUCCGGUGACAAACAAACAUGGUGAUCUGCUUUGCGUUCGCAUGCAAUCAUAGAAGUUGAGCAAAUAGUUGCAAGUUCUAUCGUUUUCCGACUGACACAAAGAAAAGGACGUUAUGGGGAAAGAUAUGCAGGUCAGUAUUAAUGCAUCUAAAUGUAUUCAGCAUGUUUUGAAUGAAAUAUAUAAGCGAUCUUGACCGGAUUUCAGGACAUGACAUCUAAUCAUACAACUUAUUUCAUUAAUAAGCAAGGCGAUACCUGAGGACGAAUAGUGAGACUUUAUUUUUAAUGCGUUAUACAUCAAUUUAUAGAUUUGCGUUAGUCUGUUGAUGUAUUCACGAACCACAUGUACAUCUUACAAAAGUAUGUAGACCAUUACGUACCAAUCUGAUUAAAAUCAAACCUUCCAAUACGACCAUCAAAAUAAAGGAGCUAGUAGAAGGUUUAAAGGAGCUAGUAGAAGGUUUGAUUUUAAACAGACUGGACCAUUACAAGUGCAUGUGUCAUCACCUGCGAAGUUCAAUAAGCAUAGUGAUAUUGUCGAUGAAAAAUUAAAAUUAAUUUAGUAAAUUAUAAUACUGCUAUAUUUUUAUGCCUAAUAUAGUACAAGUAGAAUUGUUAAUACAUGUACUCGUAACAGUCUAAGUAGUCAUUAUUCAGCUGUUAUAAAGAGAAUUCAUGUUGUAAAUUGCGGAGCCCAUAGUCUAUUAUCAUGAUUAAAAUCAAUUAAACACUUGUUGAAAUAUACUGAUACACAUCAUGUCAGAUGUACAUAGUGUACUAGUAAUACUGAUGUACAUAUAAAUUUUGUCCGUCAAAUUCAAUACAUGUAUAUUGAAUUGCACCUCUAUUUCGUGUAUACAGUGAGAGAUAACAGUUGCGGUAUAUGCUGUUGCUUUGAAACUAUACAGACAACUGACUUUUCUUUAUUUAGAAGAACUGAUCGACAACCAGAAAAUCAAAAUGACAGGAUUUGUUCCUGCAAUUUCAAAGAGGGGAAAAAGGAAGGAGAUCCUGUCUACUUUGCAUGGAACGACAAAAGGUACAUGGAUUUUUCUGAUCCAGAAAAAUCAGAUAGGAAAAGGAGGAAGACGUGUCAGUCCCAGUCCUGUGAAGCUAAAACAAUAACCCAGCGUCCAUCCUGUGAGAAAGAGCAGAUACAAGAUGCUGUUGAUUGUGAAGAUGAAGAACAUAGAUUAAAAAGUUGGAAGAAGAGUUAGUUGCUCUAAAGAUCAACAGCAAUAAAAGAAAACCCAUGACUAUAGCGGAAAUUAGGGACAGCGAAGAAAAGAUGCUGCUUUACACAUCAAUACAAUAUGAUGUCUUUGAAGUGCUUGUGGGACUGCUUGGUCGCUUUGAAUUAAAUUACUUUAAUGGUUGGUCACCAUCACUAAAUAUUGAAAAUCAGCUUCUGAUUGUUUUGAUGAAGCUGAAGCUCAACCUAAGAGACAUAGACUUGGCUCACAGGUUUUGUGUAAGCAGAUCUACAAUUUCCAACAUUUUUAACACAUUGGUUCAUGCCCUCCAUGAAAUGUUGUAUGUGGGUGUUGUUGACACAUGUUUCCCCAGUCAACUUAAAUGCAAAGGCUCUAUGCCAAAGUCAUUUGCAGAGUUUUCCUCUGCAAGGUCUUCCAUGGAUGCCAGUGAGACAACCCAAGAUAUUCCUGGACACCUGGAUACACAGGCCAUGGCAUACAGUUCAUAUAAGAGCCGUCACACUGUUAAAGCAGUGCCUUGUGUCGCCCUGGCCCAAAUGGUGCCAUCACUUACUGUUCUCCUUUAUAUCUAGGAUCAACAUCAGAUGUUGCGAUUGUGCGUCACAGCAAAGUUUUUGAGAAAUUCAAACCUGGAGACCUGAUUUUAGCUGACAAGGGCUUCACAAUCCAUGAUCAAUUAACCCAAGGUGUGUGCUUGAACAUUCCAGCAUUUUUAAUCCUCAAGAGGGCAGUUUACCCAGAAAGAAGCAGAACUGUGUUACAAAAUAGCCAGAGCAAGAAUUCACGUGGAACGGGCUAAUGAGAGGAUAAAGAACUUUGAAAUACUUCGCCACAUACCAGCAACCUACAGGCCAUUAUCAACCAAGAUAUUUCAACUUUGUUCCUCCUUGGUCAACUUGCAAGCACCUCUUUUGAAAGAAAUUUCAUAGAGCAUUUACAAUUAAGAAUCCAUCUGAUUUUUUAUUUUUUCUGAAACAAAUUAUUCAUGCAACAUUGUUCACUUUUAAAGUAGAAUGGGAUGCAAGUUAACAUUUUUAUGCUAUUAUGAGACUUAAUUAGCAUUGCUGUUGAUCUAUGUUUUGUAUAUGAAAUCAAAUAAUAAAUAA